ACGCAGCUCUCGCGGGCGGACCUCCAGCUCGGCCUGCGCGGCGGAGCGGAGCAGCGGCAGCUCCACCGUCACCACCAGCUCCCGGGGCACCGGGCCGGGCGCCGAGUCCCGACCGCAGCGGUAGUCCUGCAGGUCCACGGCCGUCACCUCCUCCUCGUACAGCCGCCGCUGCUCCGGGUCGGCCAGCUCCGCCGCGUACUCGGCGAACAGCUCCCGAAACCGCUCGUCGCGGAAGGCCCGCUGCAGCCGCUCCGCUUCCUCGGCGCUCAGCUCCAGCUCCUCCAGCCGCCCCGGGCCCGCCAUGGCCGCGCCGGUUGCUGUGGAGACGGUAAACAAGAUGGCGGCUCCGUUCCGUCCGAGCGCGUUGCUAUGGCGACGCUAAAACAAGAUGGCGGCGACCCCGUUCGUUGCUAUAGUGACGCUAAACAAGAUGGCGGUCGCGCCACCCCAGCCUGUUGCUAUGGCGACGCCAAGCAAGAUGGCGCCCCAACAAGCUCCUCUGGGCUCCCACAGCUGCCGCAGACCUCGCCCCGUGCAAAAAUUAGCACUGUCACGUCCUGAUGCUCCCGCAUGAGUUUCAAACGACCUCGCCCCUGUUCACCUUAAGCCUCACCACGGCUGUGUAACACUAUCCACUGCCGGCACUAAUCAGCUCCUUGCAAAUCUGCCUUACACCUUUCCUGCCCCAAGACAAAUGCCGGCCUGUACUGCCUUUCCCAUGGGCUGCAGAUAACUAGGCUCUCAGUUCAGUUCAGCACAGGGAAAAACAAAGUUCUUCCUCCCUUUAACUUCCUUUCUAAAAGAUACUUAUUUCCUAUACAUGCCCUUGCUUCCUUCGGGUGCCUUCUUUUCUUGUGUUGUGGCAGUUAAUCUUCGGCGGCUCCAUUUUAUCGAAACCAACACAGCAUAUUUUCCUGUAAAAGUUUAUUCCCAUACAAAAUAAGCCACUUUUGGCUUUGACAUUUAUUAUGAACAGCCUGCAAUACAUCAUAAAAUCAAUCCAUCUAAAACGAGUGCUGCGGUUGGCCUCACAAAGGCUCAGUCCCUUUUUGCAGUCUUGUAGAAAGUCAGAGACCCUGAAGCUUGCUGAAAAUACCAAACAAAAGCAAGGUUUAGUUAAAAGAAAUGCCAAUACAUAGCACAUUAUUCUGUUUUGCGAUCUGGGAAAGACUUCAUAAUGUUUUGAUCUAUCUAAAGACCUAAAGCAUCUCACGGUAUGAUUAUUUUCUGUAUUCAAGAAAAGAUUACACUGAUCUAUCUUUUAUCCACUCCUUCUGUGGAAGAUUAUACACUCCCGUGUGACAAAAAGCUGCUGCAACAAGACAUGAAAUUGAAUCAGAGGCAAACAAGACAAAUAGCAUUUUUCCUAUUUGAUUCUACCACUGUUAUUUCAAAACUGAUGGAAAUUUUUAGCACAGUUGUAAACGGUUUGAUACUGUUUAGUUUGCUUGUAUUUUUCUGGUUUUGCAGCUGUUUUUUCUUCCCAAUUGUUGAAAGACCACAAUAGGAAUGAAUAAGCACACGUGUAAAAUACAUGAAAUCAGAGCGUAAAAGUGGCUUUUGAGUGAGUUUGAUUAUGAUCACAAAAUGAACCAAAAAUCAUUCCUAAGUGAGAUUAACUCAUGCAACAAUAUAAUCUUCAGAAACAAAUCUGUUUCCAACUGUGUCUCAGUUAUCUGGUUUCAGUUACUGAAAAUGAUAUAAUACAAUCUAUCUUUCCGUUUAUUUUUGGAUCAUGUUUCUCAUCAUUGUUUCCUGGCAGUAACUUCUGAAUUUCUUAUUUUAGGUCUAGGCAUCUGAAUUUCUUACACUGCUUAAGUGCAAAGUGUAAGUCUGCAUUAACUGCUAGAACAUUCAUUCUGUUGAUAUAAUUCCUUUUCUGUAUUCCUCCUGAUAACUAGAAAGUCAGCAAAUAAAAUGAUUAUAUUUACCUGUCUUCAACAGUCUUGUUGGAGGGGUAGAAUACCUUGAAUGAAAACCCACUUCUUGGAAAAGAACCCUGUAAAGAAAAAUACACCACAUUCGUGUAAGUAUAACGCUGUACAGAUGGCAAGAGACACCCAUAUGUAACUGCAUUCCCUUUGGCAACUGACCCAUCAUUAAUUUUCCUAAUAUUAUAAUAAAGCUAUUUGUAAAUUCAA
Molecule: long non-coding RNA, 2141 nt
Organism: Numida meleagris (helmeted guineafowl)
Lineage: Eukaryota; Metazoa; Chordata; Aves; Galliformes; Numididae
Exons: 2
Source: RefSeq, a predicted model, not a curated record